Solanum pennellii is the source of this 850-nucleotide long non-coding RNA. RefSeq lists it as uncharacterized. The record is from RefSeq and is a predicted model, not a curated record. The transcript is spliced from 2 exons. Lineage: Eukaryota; Viridiplantae; Streptophyta; Magnoliopsida; Solanales; Solanaceae.
AAUGUGUGUGCAGAGCACGUGUUGUCAUACUCUCUCUUGAAAAAGAAAGACAACAAUUUAUCCCAUCACUUUUAUAUUAGAUUUGAAGCUCUAAUCUUCAUCAACUCACACAAAACCUAUUCUAAUUGUUGUGAAGAUUAAACAAUUAAGAGGAAGACCAAAGUAAAAAAUUGAGAAAAUUAAGCACCAAAUUUAAUAGAUCUGAUGACUAUUGAAAAUUGAUUUAACCAAGAAAUCAAAGCUGAGGCAUUUUUCAUGGUAUCAUGGUCAUCUGAGUUUUUUUAGUUUCCGGAGAUACUAUCAAUAGAUGAUUUUGGAUGGGAUGUUUUACAACUUGUAGCAGAUUAUUUCACUUCACUGAAUUUGAAAGAAAUUCUAGCUUUGUUGAAGGAAAAUAUGGCUGUCAAUCUGCCAUAGAUAUAGUGAUGCAGAGAAUGAAGAUUAGAAACACCGUAUGAAUACAACAAAGAGAGACCUUUUUAGCAGAUCAUCAUGCCUUCAUCUCCAGCAUGAUGAGUUGCGACAUAAAAUUUUUAUCAUGUUUGAUAAUUAUUUAAGCUUUCAUUCACCACAUUUGCUUCAGUCUUCUUCACUCUGAUCAAUCAGUAGACGAUUUGAAAUGGGAUAAAUGUGAAUCAGGUGUUUCAACAUCUACUGCUUGUGCUUUUUGUGUGGUUAUUUUGGUAAUGAUUAAUUGGAUAUGCUCCUAUAUUGAUUGACUUCAAUUUGUUGAUAGUUAUUAGGAGCAAACUACUUCAACUUUUAGGAGAACAAUUAAGAGUAAAUGUGCAAAACUAAAUGAAAAUAUUUUGAAUAAAAUGUGUAAUUGUGAUGAUUAUUUUUUAUUUUA